Molecule: small nuclear RNA, 111 nt
Organism: Eublepharis macularius
Lineage: Eukaryota; Metazoa; Chordata; Lepidosauria; Squamata; Eublepharidae
Source: RefSeq, a predicted model, not a curated record
GGACUCGCCGAGAGAACAGCCUGUAUACUAAAAUUGGAAUGAUACAGAGAAGAUUAGCAAGGCCCCUGUGCAGGGAGGACACACAAAUUCAUAAAGAAAAAAGUGCUUGCU